CAGGCUUUGCCAUCUUGAUGGGUGCCAUUUAUUGCCUAAACCUGGAUCUUUCCAUCAAGAUACAGAUGAUACUCUUGAGAUACCAAUGAUCCUGACCCCUUCUGCUCUCUGGACCUGCCUGAUCAAUCCUGAUGUUCUACUUCUGUUUGGAGUUCUCAAUUGGAAGUCACAUGUUGCUGCUGAGGAUUGCCACAAACAGUUUUGCACUCAUCAGUGGAAAGUGGACAAGUUCAACAAAACAGACUUCAAAGCAGUAAUGAAGUUUCCUGGUUACACAAUUGCACUAUUUGACCAUGUAGUAUUAGAAGGCAUUAAUUUAUUUAUAAUCGCAAAAAUGUAUUUAUAAUUUAUUUUUAUUGCACUAUCCGGUGUCACCCAGAUGUGAACGGGUUCCCUUUUGAGUCUGGUUCCUCUCAAGAUUUCUUCCUCACAUCUUCUCAGGGAGUUUUGCCUCACCACCGUCACCUCUGGCUGCUCAUUAGGGAUAAAUUCAUACAUUUAAGAUCUAUAUCCCAAAUUUCUGUAAAGCUGCUCUGGGACAAUGUCCACUGUUAAAAGCACUAUACAAAUAAAACUGAAUUGAAUGGCCUAUGACUGAUGAAUUAAUGUUGCUCAUUAUUAAGUUUCUCUCAGCAGGGUGGAGGGUUUAAACUUCUCAGUAAUGUCGAGGUGGUGCCUCACACCCCCAGGGUCCGUGGUUCGACUCCUGGUAGGGCCAUGUGUGUGCAGAGUUUGCAUGUUCUCCCUGUGCUGCGGGGGGGUUUCCUUCGGGUACUCCGGUUUCCUCCCCCAGUCCAAAGACAUGCAUGGUAGGCUGAUUGGCAUGUCUAAAGUGUCCGUAGUGUAUGAAUGGGUGUGUGAGUGUGUAUGUGAUUGUGCCCUGCGAUGGACUGGCACCCUGUCCAGGGUGUACCCCGCCUUGUGCCCGAUGCUCCCUGGAAUAGGCUCCAGGUUCCCCGUGACCCUGAAAAGGAGUAAUUUUACUCCUUUUAUUAGCUUUUAUUGAAGAGAAUAUAAUCCAAAGGGCAAGGCAAAAUCAACAAUGAGGACAAGACUAGAGCAGGUAAAGCAGAUAAUCGGAGUCAAGGGCAAAACAGAAUAAGAAUCACAAAACAAUCGACUGGCUUGGUAAUGACAGAAACUAGAUUAACUGAGCAUUUACUUUGCAAACCCAGGGUAACUUCUAAGCAUCUGAUGUUCAUGAGUCCACCCUCAGGAGAACACUGAACAACAAUGGUGUGCAUGGCAGGGUUCUAAGGAGAAACCAUUGCUCUCCAAAAGAACAUUGCUGCCCUUCUACAGUUUGCUAAAGAUCAUGUGGACAAGCCAGAAGGAUACUGGAAAAAUGUUUUGAGACCAAAUUAGAACAUUUUGUUUUAAAUGAGAAGCGUUAUGUUUGGAGAAAGGAAAACACUGCAUUCCAGCAUAAGAACCUUAUCCCAUUUGUGAAACAUGGUGGUGGAAGUGUCAUGCUUUGGGCCUGUUUUACUCCAUCUGGACCAGAAUGACUCAUUAUCACUGAUGGAACAAUGAAUUGUGAAUGAUACCAGUGAAUUCUAAAGGAAAAUAUCAGGACAUCUAUCCAUGAACUGAAUCUGAAGAGAGAGUGGGUCAUGCAGCAAGACAACGAUCCUAAACACGAGUCGCUCUACCAAAGAAUGGUUAAAGAAGAAUAAAUUAAUGUUUUGGAACGGCCAAGUCAAAGUCCUGACCUUAAUCCAAUAGAAAUGUUGCCGAAGGACCUGAAGCAAGCAGUUCAUGUGAGUUACAGCAAAUGUUUAGUUGCAGUAAUUGCUGCACAAGAGGGUCACAACAGAUAAUGAAAGCAAAGGUUCACAUACUUUUGCCACUCACAGAUAUGUAAUAUUGGAUUUUGAUCAAUAAAUAAAUGACCAAGUAUAAUAUUAUUGAUUCAUUUGUUUAAUCAGGUUCUCUUUAUCUACUUUUAGGACUUUGAUGAAAAUUUGAUUAUGUUUUAGGUCAUACUUAUGCAGAUAUAUAGAAAAUUCUAAAGGGUUCACAAACUUUCAAGCACCACUGUGCUGUAUGUGCAUUAAGAAUCAUAUUCAGAGUUAAUGAUUUAAGUUAAAAGUUAUAUUAAUA
This is a long non-coding RNA of Ictalurus punctatus (channel catfish), 2103 nucleotides long. The record is from Ensembl. Lineage: Eukaryota; Metazoa; Chordata; Actinopteri; Siluriformes; Ictaluridae.